RNAcentral lists this long non-coding RNA (431 nucleotides) under Amborella trichopoda. RNAcentral's name for it is "long non-coding RNA (ATRI_LNC002482)". The record is from RNAcentral. Lineage: Eukaryota; Viridiplantae; Streptophyta; Magnoliopsida; Amborellales; Amborellaceae.
UCACAAAACCAAAGAGAGAAAAAGAGUGACGGUGAGGCAAAAGAGGAUAGUGAGAGAGAAAUAUGGCUCGUGUUAUUUUUAAAUUUGUUUGGGACGAAAAUAUAUAAUAAAAGGUGGUUCAAUGAAUUUAAGGGGUUAGUAGAAAGACUUUCGAAAAUUUUGAUGCUUUUAAAUCAUACACGAAAUUAGCAUCUAUGAAUAUAUUUUCCCAAGAUUAUAUAUUCUCUAAAAAUUAAAAUCAAAUUAUAUUUAAAAACUAUAUUUAUUUCCAAGCCCGUAUCUCUACAAUAUGAGGGUUGGUAGUAUAGAAACCAUGUCCUAUAAAUUCUUCAUUUUUACUGCUCAUCAUUCGAUUCCAAAUCUGUGGAUGUCUAAUCCAUAGUUACCGAGCCUUCUCAAAGGCACAUAUCGGCUCCAUGAGCACAGUUCCG